GUCGUACCAGGGUUUCCGUAGGUGAACCUGCGAAGGGAUCAUUAUCGUAAAACCGAGGCGCGAGGGCUGUCGCUGACCUGAACUCGGGUCGUGCACGUCCGAGCGUUCUCACACAUCCGUCUCACCCACAUGUGCACCACCGCGUGGGUCUUCCUUUGGCUCGUCCGAAGGGGGGCUUACGUUUUCACACAAACUUUCGUAUGCAGCGUAGAAUGUACCUUUGUUUUGCGAUGACGCAAUUAAUACAACUUUCAACAACGGAUCUCUUGGCUCUCGCAUCGAUGAAGAACGCAGCGAAAUGCGAUACGUAAUGUGAAUWGCAGAAUUCAGUGAAUCAUCGAAUCUUUGAACGCACCUUGCGCCCCUUGGCAUUCCGAGGGGCACACCCGUUUGAGUGUCGUGAAAUUCUCAAAACCCUUUUCUUUUUGGGAAAAGGGUUUUGGACUUGGAGGCCCUUUGCUGGCUUUGCCUUUGAAGCCAGCUCCUCCUAAAUAAAUUAGUGGGGUCCGCUUUGCCGAUCCUUGACGUGAUAAGAUGUWUCUACGUCUUGGGUUCGACACUGUCACCUGCUUCUAAUCGUCUCAUUGACAACGAUGGUGCUCCGGUCGCUGCCCAUCUAUGGGUGGUCGGCUUGACCCACAACAUGACCUUGACCUCWAAUCGGGUGAGACUACCCGCUGAACUUAAGCAUAUCAAUAAGCG
This 702-nucleotide small RNA is filed under the name uncultured fungus. RNAcentral describes it as "eukaryotic LSU rRNA". The stretch from base 247 to 400 matches the Rfam family "5.8S ribosomal RNA". The record is from RNAcentral. Lineage: Eukaryota; Fungi.